Molecule: ribosomal RNA, 568 nt
Filed under: uncultured Actinomycetes bacterium
Lineage: Bacteria; Bacillati; Actinomycetota; Actinomycetes
Description: bacterial SSU rRNA
Rfam family: Bacterial small subunit ribosomal RNA
Source: RNAcentral
CCUACGGGAGGCAGCAGUGGGGAAUAUUGCACAAUGGGCGAAAGCCUGAUGCAGCGACGCCGCGUGAGGGAUGAAGGUCUUCGGAUUGUAAACCUCUUUCAGUAGGGACGAAGCGAAAGUGACGGUACCUAAAGAAGAAGCACCGGCUAACUACGUGCCAGCAGCCGCGGUAAUACGUAGGGUGCAAGCGUUGUCCGGAUUUAUUGGGCGUAAAGAGCUCGUAGGCGGUUAGACACGUCGGAUGUGAAAACUGGUGGCUCAACCACCAGCCUGCAUUCGAUACGGUCUGACUUGAAUGUGGUAGGGGUAACUGGAAUUCCUGGUGUAGCGGUGAAAUGCGCAGAUAUCAGGAGGAACACCGAUGGCGAAGGCAGGUUACUGGGCCACUAUUGACGCUGAGGAGCGAAAGCGUGGGGAGCAAACAGGAUUAGAUACCCUGGUAGUCCACGCCGUAAACGGUGGGCACUAGAUGUGGAGACCUUUCCAUGGUUUCUGCGUCGCAGCUAACGCAUUAAGUGCCCCGCCUGGGGAGUACGGCCGCAAGGCUAAAACUCAAAGGAAUUGACGG